Molecule: ribosomal RNA, 814 nt
Filed under: uncultured Articulospora
Lineage: Eukaryota; Fungi; Ascomycota; Leotiomycetes; Helotiales; Helotiaceae
Description: eukaryotic LSU rRNA
Rfam family: Eukaryotic large subunit ribosomal RNA (bases 537-814)
Source: RNAcentral
AUUCUUGGUCAUUUAGAGGAAGUAAAAGUCGUAACAAGGUUUCCGUAGGUGAACCUGCGGAAGGAUCAUUACAGAGUUCAUGCCCUCACGGGUAGAUCUCCCACCCUUGAAUAUUAUACCUUAGUUGCUUUGGCAGGCCGUGGAAACACCAUGGGCCUCGGCUUAUGCGUGCCUGCCAGAGGAAACAAACUCUGUUUUUAGUGAUGUCUGAGUACUAUAUAAUAGUUAAAACUUUCAACAACGGAUCUCUUGGUUCUGGCAUCGAUGAAGAACGCAGCGAAAUGCGAUAAGUAAUGUGAAUUGCAGAAUUCAGUGAAUCACGAAUCUUUGAACGCACAUUGCGCCCCGUGGUAUUCCGCGGGGCAUGCCUGUUCGAGCGUCAUUUCAACCCAUCAAGCUUCGGCUUGGACUUGGGGCCUGCGGUCUGCCGCAGCCUCUAAACUCAGUGGCGGUGCUAUUGAGCUCUGAGCGUAGUAAUUUUUCUCGCUAUAGGGUCUCGGUAGUUACUUGCCAGUAACCCCCAAUUUUUAUCAGGUUGACCUCGGAUCAGGUAGGGAUACCCGCUGAACUUAAGCAUAUCAAUAAGCGGAGGAAAAGAAACCAACAGGGAUUACCUCAGUAACGGCGAGUGAAGCGGUAACAGCUCAAAUUUGAAAUCUGCCGCAAGGCCGAGUUGUAAUUUGUAGAAGAUGCUUUGGGUAUGGCCCCGGUCUAAGUUCGUUGGAACACGACGUCAUAGAGGGUGAGAAUCCCGUAUGUGACUGGGUGCUUUUGCCUAUGUAAAGCUCUUUCGACGAGUCGAGUUGUUUGGGAA